This 508-nucleotide ribosomal RNA is filed under the name uncultured Bacillus sp. Its description in RNAcentral is "bacterial SSU rRNA". It matches the Rfam family "Bacterial small subunit ribosomal RNA", at positions 61 to 552 of the family's 1533-position model. The record is from RNAcentral. Lineage: Bacteria; Bacillati; Bacillota; Bacilli; Caryophanales; Bacillaceae.
GCCGAAUUCGAUAAGAGCUUGCUCUUAUGAAGUUAGCGGCGGACGGGUGAGUAACACGUGGGUAACCUGCCCAUAAGACUGGGAUAACUCCGGGAAACCGGGGCUAAUACCGGAUAACAUUUUGAACCGCAUGGUUCGAAAUUGAAAGGCGGCUUCGGCUGUCACUUAUGGAUGGACCCGCGUCGCAUUAGCUAGUUGGUGAGGUAAACGGCUCACCAAGGCAACGAUGCGUAGCCGACCUGAGAGGGUGAUCGGCCACACUGGGACUGGGACACGGCCCAGACUCCUACGGGAGGCAGCAGUAGGGAAUCUUCCGCAAUGGACGAAAGUCUGACGGAGCAACGCCGCGUGAGUGGAUGAAGCUUCGGAUCGUAAAGCUCUGUUGUUAGGGAAGAACAAGUACCGUUCGAAUAGGGCGGGUACCUUGACGGUACCUAACCAGAAAGCCACGGCUAACUACGUGCCAGCAGCCGCGGUAAUACGUAGGUGGCAAGCGUUGUCCGGAAUU